GGCCCAGUGGUGGAAUGGUUACCACACCUGCUAUAUUUACCCAUGGUUUUCCCAGAAAUCUGCAGAAGAUCCUUGUUCGACUCAAAGAUGGGCCG
Non-coding RNA from Mycena rosella, 95 nucleotides. The record is from the annotation of a GenBank genome assembly. Lineage: Eukaryota; Fungi; Basidiomycota; Agaricomycetes; Agaricales; Mycenaceae.